Molecule: long non-coding RNA, 991 nt
Organism: Manacus vitellinus (golden-collared manakin)
Lineage: Eukaryota; Metazoa; Chordata; Aves; Passeriformes; Pipridae
Exons: 4
Source: RefSeq, a predicted model, not a curated record
UCCCCCUCUCCCCAUUCUUAAUGCUCUGUCCUGCUAAGACAUAGAUUUAGUUAAAAAGAGAUUUUCUUCAAAUCCCACAGACUCUCACCCAGAAGGACACUGGGUGUAUUCCUGGUGGGCUCUCAGCAGCUGGGACGUCUGGAAGGAGCAGCACAGCAGCAUCGAGAUGCUUCACCUGCCACCCAAACCCCACUGGGGGAUCUCCCGGGCUGUGGAGGAUGAUAGCUAGCCGGAGAAAUCCAUUCCGGGGCUCUUUGGGAUCGAUAAGCAGUUAAGGGAGCGGCGGGAAGAUGACAUUGCCUGUCUUUGUGCGCACACACCGCAGAGGGGCCGGGCCGUUAAAGGGCAGCGCUCGGGCUCGGAGCCAUCGGCUUUAGAAUGUGGUGGUUCCUGCUGGAAUUUUGGACACUUGGUGAGUGGCUGAUCUGCUUGGCCUUGUUUAAUCCAUCGUCCUUGAGCCAAUCUGCUGAAGUGGCACUGAGUGCACCCCGAUGCAAAGCACAGGCUCACAAAGCUGGGGCUGGACGAGGCAUCUGGUGCACCAAGGCACCACCACCUUCUGCCUCAAGGUUUUCCAGCAGAAAAAACAAAUCCCUGAGCUUGGCAGCAUUGCAUGGACACGUGAGCUGGGGGAGGGAUGGCAGCUUUCUCCCUGCCCUUGGCCGCACCAUCAAAGCGCUGUGGGCACUGAAAAGCCUGGGCAGGGGUCUUGCUGAGCUCUGCAGCUGUGCAGGAAUUGCUCUCCAAAUUCGAGAUGUUCUCUGUAUUUAUUUUUCCGUCUGGGUCCGUUUGCUGACAGCCAACAACCCGUGGCUUCGGGCAGCCAGUGCCUGCGCUACAUAUUUUUGUUCAUCCGUCCCUCCCUGCCAAGAGCUGGAGUCAGACAACUGGCUCCGGCUGGUGCCAGCUCUGGUUGCUCACACAGGGAUUAGCACGUAAACUGCUUUGGUCCCCCUGUGGAGGCCGAGCGUGGCCUUCUCUCUUACCCUCC